RNAcentral lists this ribosomal RNA (341 nucleotides) under Stomatolepas sp. RH2012. Its description in RNAcentral is "partial 12S rRNA". Lineage: Eukaryota; Metazoa; Arthropoda; Thecostraca; Balanomorpha; Coronulidae. The record is from RNAcentral.
UGUUACAUUUUUUAUUUUUCCUCGGAACAGUAAUAUUAAUGAAAUUUAACGGAUUUGGCGGCAAGAUAGCUUUUUAGAGGAACCUGCCCUGUAAACGAUGAACCACGAGUGACUUUACUCUUGUUAGAAUUCACAGUUUGUAUACCGCUGUUGUCAGUUGAAUUUUUGAAGAUGUCUUCUAUAUUGGUAAUGCUAUUGACUUCAAGUAAAGGUGCAGCUUAUGCGAGAGAUAGAGGUGGGUUACAUUUAAUAGAAUAAAACGGAUAAGGAUUAGGAAGAAACCUUUGAAGGUGGAUUUAACCGUAAAGUUUAAAAAGACUUGGUGAUAGCUCUAUCUUGUG